Molecule: ribosomal RNA, 671 nt
Filed under: uncultured Actinomycetes bacterium
Lineage: Bacteria; Bacillati; Actinomycetota; Actinomycetes
Description: bacterial SSU rRNA
Rfam family: Bacterial small subunit ribosomal RNA
Source: RNAcentral
CACCUUCGGGUGUGAAUUAGCGGCGAACGGGUGAGGAACACGUGAGAAAUCUGCCUUCAACACUGGGAUAACUCCGGGAAACCGGGGCUAAUACCGGAUAUGAAAUCUGCGGGCAUCCGCGGAUUUGGAAAGUUUUUCGGUUGAAGAUGAUCUCGCGGCCUAUCAGCUUGUUGGUGAGGUAAUGGCUCACCAAGGCGACGACGGGUAGCCGGCCUGAGAGGGCGACCGGCCACACUGGGACUGAGACACGGCCCAGACUCCUACGGGAGGCAGCAGUGGGGAAUAUUGGGCAAUGGAGGAAACUCUGACCCAGCGACGCCGCGUGCGGGAUGAAGGCCUUCGGGUUGUAAACCGCUUUCAGCAGGGAAGAAGCGAAAGUGACGGUACCUGCAGAAGAAGCACCGGCUAGCUAUGUGCCAGCAGCCGCGGUAAUACAUAGGGUGCAAGCGUUGUCCGGAAUUAUUGGGCGUAAAGAGCUCGUAGGUGGUUCGUCACGUCGGAUGUGAAAAUCUGGGGCUUAACCCCAGACCUGCAUUCGAUACGGGCGAGCUUGAGUAUGGUAGGGGAGUCUGGAAUUCCUGGUGUAGCGGUGGAAUGCGCAGAUAUCAGGAGGAACACCAAUGGCGAAGGCAGGACUCUGGGCCAUUACUGACACUGAGGAGCGAAAGCGU